Molecule: long non-coding RNA, 950 nt
Filed under: Vigna radiata
Lineage: Eukaryota; Viridiplantae; Streptophyta; Magnoliopsida; Fabales; Fabaceae
Description: long non-coding RNA (VRAD_LNC008413)
Source: RNAcentral
UCUCCGUAGAGAACUCAACACAUUAUCGUAUCGCAAUACGAAUACCAUCGGUUCAACAAAAAUUCCAAGAAAUGACAGAAUUCUUGCUCUCACAACUUCACCAUCACAACCAUACACAGAUCACCAUCAUAUACAAAGUCAACCAAAUUCAUUGACCAACAAUUAAAAAAAUCACAAAUAAUUAAAUAACUUAAUUUAAUUAUUAUUUUUUUUCCUCGCACCCCCAUGAAAUUUACUAAUUUCACACUUCAAUCAACUAGAAUAACAUUUCUAGUGCACCCCCACUUUUUACUAAUAACACAACACCAAAGAAGACACUUAUUUCCAAUAUACCCCUUUUUUCCUUUAAACACACUCCCUUUCCAACCACUUGUCCAAGUGGAACCCAUUGUACCAUUUUAAUUAAAAAAAAAACAUAUUUUCUCUCACCCAGGUGGGCCUCACGCAGGUCCACCUCCAACUCAUCUUCACUCUCUCAUUUUCUCUCUCUUAUUUACAUAAUUUCCUCCUUUACGUGACAUUCACCUUUCUUCAUCAAUUUAUUUAUUUAUUAUUAUUUUUUUUAUAAGAAAACACAACCAAAACUCUUUCUCUUUCUUCCUUUUUCCUACUUUUACGUAACAUCUCCUUCCACAUAUCUUCACACUACUAUUUUUACAAUUUAAUCUUCUCUCUCAUGCUACCAACACUCACGGCCCCACCACACCUCCUACUCUUUUCUUUUAUUUUAUUUUUUUCUUUCCUUCACUCUCUACACCACAAUUUACGUACUCCACAUUCUUUAUCUCCUUCUUUUCAUUUGAAUUUUCAACACCAUCCGAAAUACCCAUUUUGUUCUCACUCACCACUCAACAUACUCUCUUCUCUGUCUUUCACUUUUUACUUUUACAACUUUUCAUUUAAAACUCUAUCACCUUAACUCUUAACUUAUGUAACACACUCAUUCAUUU